RNAcentral lists this ribosomal RNA (513 nucleotides) under uncultured bacterium. RNAcentral describes it as "partial 16S ribosomal RNA". It matches the Rfam family "Bacterial small subunit ribosomal RNA", at positions 28 to 507 of the family's 1533-position model. The record is from RNAcentral.
GACGAACGCUGGCGGCGUGCUUAACACAUGCAAGUCGAAUGAGAGCGUAGAGAAAGCUUGCUUUUUCAACAAUCUAGUGGCAAACGGGUGAGUAACGCGUAAACAACCUGCCCUACGGAUGGGGACAACAGCUGGAAACGGCUGCUAAUACCGAAUACGUUCCGAAAGUCGCAUGACUAUCGGAAGAAAGGAUGGCCUCUAUUUAUAAGCUAUCGCCGGAGGAGGGGUUUGCGUCUGAUUAGCUAGUUGGAGGGGUAACGGCCCACCAAGGCGACGAUCAGUAGCCGGUCUGAGAGGAUGAACGGCCACAUUGGAACUGAGACACGGUCCAGACUCCUACGGGAGGCAGCAGUGGGGAAUCUUCCGCAAUGGGCGAAAGCCUGACGGAGCAACGCCGCGUGAGUGAAGACGGCCUUCGGGUUGUAAAGCUCUGUUAUACGGGACGAAUAAUCUUGUGGUUAAUACCCAUGAGAAGUGACGGUACCGUAAGAGAAAGCCACGGCUAACUACGUG